UGCCAGCGCUGUUCUAAACACCGGCCGCAGGUCCAGCCAUUAGGAGAGCUACCUGCUCCCUGUGGGACCUCGUGGAGUUUUGCUCCCGAAGCCCCUACGGGUAGUCCUCGGUUUAUAAGAAACUGACACAGCGAUUGAGGAGUCCUGAGGACUUACGAUACAGCAAACACUGAGCUCAUGGAGAGUUCCCUGUGACCAGAUGACUGAGAAAGAAAAAAUCAAAUGAAGCACAGUAUACUGGCGUUAAUCAGAAGUGGAUUGAUGUAUUAAAACAGCCCCUCUGGAAGGUGGCCCUAAAGGGUAUUGGGAGAAAGGAAAUCCAGCAGGCAGAACUUUGAGCAGUACAUUUCGUUGUCACUUGGAAGGAGAGCAAGCCAGUGGCUUGAACACACCCAGUGUCUCGCAGGCUAGCUGGAGAUUCAGAGAUUUGGAAGGAAGAAGAUCAGAGGGUUGGUCAUAAGCGGUCUGAGGAAAAUGGUGUGGGUGAACCCCUUGGACACUAUGAGCAUAUAGUGAAUGUUCAUCAAAGGCAUCUACUACUUCUGAGGAGGCUUUUGAGGAGCAGGUGGCCAGGAAGACUUCUGUAGAGGUCAGUCAGCUUUUCCCCAGCACACCCAGUGUUUGUUCACGACGAAUAAGGAGACGACAGCAGUAGCAAGGUAUGGAAUGUGUGAGUUCAUCGACGCGAAAUUCUCAUCAAGGCUCAUCUGGCUGCUGAGCACCCAGCAGUCUCCCAUCAGGGACCAACUCUGAGCCCCAGUGUCAAGUACCAUACCCCAAGGUAGACCAAGCGACCACUUGGUGGCAGACAGGUUACACAGGAGCCCUUCCAUCUGGAGUGCACAGGGAUUUGCCCUGUGGGGAGUGAGCGUUUAUUUCAGGUACGGAUUUGCAUUUCCUUCCUGCAGUGCUUCUGCCAGCAUCAUCAUUGUUGGAUAUUCUGUAUACUUGCUCACCAUCACAGCCUGUCUUGCUAAGAAACCCGUUUUACAGAAAAAUGAGGCAGUAUACUGACUGCUGUAGAAUUCAGUAGUUUUACUAUGAACCUCGUCACCCCAAAGCAGCUGGCUGUACAGGGCAGUAGGGUGGAGUAUGGAAGGCUCAGGUGCAGCCCCAAGCAGGAGUAUACUGAGUGUAUACUCAGCUGAGUGUACUGUCCUUCAUGGGCAGUGGAUGUUCUAAACCAGAUUGCUGUUUCUUUCAUGGCCAGUACACCUGAACUCAGGAAACAGUAGAAGUGAGAGGGUUGUGUUCCACAAUGAAACCUAGUCAUGCUCUUGCAAAAUAGUGCUCCCUGUUCCUAUGACAUUGGGCUGUGUUUCCAGUAGGAGACACAUAGUUCCUUGAAUAGGAAUUUGAAACUGCAUCUGGACAUUUCAGGUUCAUGAUGCCAUCAGGCCAUCAAGGAAAUAAGGAAGUUACCAAACCAGCUGGGCUGAUUUAUGGGAAAAUAGUGAUGUAGCCACACAACGGAGUUAGAGACAAGCAUGUCUUUAACUCAGGAGUUUCUCUUGAGUUCCUUCUAGUAACUCCCUGCUCAAUGAUACAUGUUAGUAGAAAUCUACAGCUGUUCAACAAGACAGGACUGUUUAGGGCUCAGAUCCUUCAGGAUUGAAGGUUUAUGUCACCCUACUGGCUGGGAAGAUUUCUGAGGGCAAAGAGAAUAAGUAAUAAGGAAUAAGGAAGUAAUAAACACCAACUACAGUUUCAUGACCUGUUGCAUUUUUCUUCCUUGCUUUGUUUUUGUAUUAAUAAACUUCUUUUCAUUGCUUUUCCCUUUCCUUUUCUAUGAGAUUUGCUGGUAGUGGUUAAUUUUAUAAGAUAAUCUUCUGGUUAGAGUGUCUUACGGUAGAAUUUGUGACUAAAAGAGAAGAGGGAGGAAUAUCACAUAGCCAUGGGUAUAAAGACUAGGGGCUCGGAUAAGCAUGUUUUCAUUUGAAGAAGGGAAUGGGUGCAUUAGGUGGGAACAUAGUUCUGUUGUCUGCUUGAAAGAUUAUUAGUGCAAGCAGUGGACUGCACGAUAUUGUUCGUUUUUAUUUAGCUUCUAAUCUCACUCCUUUCUAUGUCUCCCUGCCUCCUGGAUUAUAAAGUAUGGAAAGUUAAAAUCACAUUGCCAGAUUUUUACGGAAUUAAAAUUCUGGAGUUCUGCUAAUGA
This is a long non-coding RNA of Leopardus geoffroyi (Geoffroy's cat), 2155 nucleotides long. RefSeq lists it as uncharacterized. The record is from RefSeq and is a predicted model, not a curated record. NCBI's taxonomy places the organism in Eukaryota, Metazoa, Chordata, Mammalia, Carnivora, Felidae. The transcript has 2 exons.